This 276-nucleotide unclassified non-coding RNA is filed under the name plant metagenome. RNAcentral's name for it is "partial contains small subunit ribosomal RNA, internal transcribed spacer 1, and 5.8S ribosomal RNA". The stretch from base 228 to 276 matches the Rfam family "5.8S ribosomal RNA", at positions 1 to 49 of the family's 154-position model. The record is from RNAcentral.
UUUCCGUAGGUGAACCUGCGGAAGGAUCAUUAUCGAAAUACUUAUUUAGCGUUCCGUGCUAUCCCAUUGUUUUAUUUACCCUGUUGCUUCCACUGGAUGAGUUUCCAUACCUUGUGUUUGAGAAACUUUGGCUUGUGUAAGAUUCAUUCACGGCCAGCCAGUGAGAAGACCAUUUACAAAACCCUGUUAAGAACCAAUUGUCUGAAUAUUUUACUCCAAUGAAAUAAAACUUUCAACAACGGAUCUCUAGGCUCUUGCGUCGAUGAAGAACGCAGC